UAACAUGGAUAUAUACAGGGAGGUAAUAACAUGGCUAUAUACAGGGAGGUAAUAACAUGGCUAUAUACAGGGAGGUAAUAACAUGGCUAUAUACAGGGAGUACCAGGUAAUAACAUGGCUAUAUACAGGGAGGUAAUAACAUGGCUAUAUACAGGGAGGUAAUAACAUGGCUAUAUACAGGGAGUACCAGGUAAUAACAUGGCUAUAUACAGGGAGGUAAUAACAUGGCUAUAUACAGGGAGUACCAGGUAAUAACAUGGCUAUAUACAGGGAGGUAA
Oncorhynchus keta (chum salmon) is the source of this 278-nucleotide long non-coding RNA. RefSeq lists it as uncharacterized. The record is from RefSeq and is a predicted model, not a curated record. NCBI's taxonomy places the organism in Eukaryota, Metazoa, Chordata, Actinopteri, Salmoniformes, Salmonidae. The transcript is spliced from 3 exons.